Molecule: ribosomal RNA, 443 nt
Filed under: uncultured bacterium
Lineage: Bacteria
Description: partial 16S ribosomal RNA
Rfam family: Bacterial small subunit ribosomal RNA
Source: RNAcentral
CCUACGGGUGACUGCAGUGGGGAAUAUUGGGCAAUGGGCGCAAGCCUGACCCAGCAACGCCGCGUGAAGGAAGAAGGCGUUCGGGGUGUAAAAUUCUUUUGACAGGGACGAAGCAAGAGACGGGACUGGACGAAUAAGCCACGGCUAACUACGGGCCAGCAGCCGCGGUAAGACGUAGGUGGCAAGCGUUAGCCGGAUUUAAUGGGUGUAAAGGGCGAGUAGGCGGGACGGCAAGUCAGAUGGGAAAACCACGGGCUCAACCUUUGGCCUGCAUUUGAAACUGUAGUUCUUGAGUACUGUGGAGGCAGGCUGACUUCCUCGUGUAGCGGUGAAAUGCUUAGAUAUUAGGAGGAACCCCAGUGGCGAAGGCGGUCUACUGGACUGCAACUGCCGCUGAUGCGCGACAGCGUGGGUAGCAAACAGGAUUAGAUACCCCUGUAGUC